Molecule: long non-coding RNA, 812 nt
Filed under: Nicotiana benthamiana
Lineage: Eukaryota; Viridiplantae; Streptophyta; Magnoliopsida; Solanales; Solanaceae
Description: long non-coding RNA (NBEN_LNC042114)
Source: RNAcentral
AAAUACAAUGAAAUAGAUACAAUACAGAAAGAUACAUUGAAAUACAAUGAGAAAAAGAGACACUGAAUAUAAUUAAAUACAUGAAAUAUAACGAGAUACAUUGAAUUACAAUAAAAAAAAGAUAGUGAAUACAAUUAAAUACAUAGAAAUACAUUAAGAUACAUUGAAAUGCUCUUAAAAAAGGUAACAAAAUAUUCAAAUUGCUCAGCCUCAAACUUCAGACGACUUAUUUUAGUCGGCAAUUUUCCGACGACCCAUCAAAUUUCGACCAUGAUUCUAUAAAUAGCAAUGAGAGAAAAUUAUAAAUUAAUAAGGUCUACAGUCCACAUGAACUCGGCAGAGCCGUAUAGAGGUGCCUCUAUCUCCGUCGCUUGAGAAUCGUUUGCGCCUCCUUGGAAAGCUGCAGAAGAUAGUUUUAGGGCCUUUUUGGCGACACCUAAAAACUAAAGCUGAAGGCAAAUAAAAAAGUAAGUUAUCCUCUCCAACUGCAAUAAAUAACUAAUCAUAAGCAUAAAUUAAGUCCCCUAAUCUCAACUGCCCAAAAAUCAGCCAUAGGAAAGAGGAAAAUAAAGAACGAGAAAAACAAAGAAACUCAAUGACAUUACCUAGCUCUAGCUUGGAGGCUUCUUCGAGGUCGGAAGAUGACGAUGAGGAACGAGGACAUAAGGGUUAAAAAUUGGUAUUUUGUGGUAUAAUAUGCCUCCUUUGUCGUUGGACAAAAUCGGCAAAGUAUUGCCUUUCUCCAGACUGUGUUCCUGCUCUAGAGUCCUUAUCGCUAGAUCUUAAAUUUUAAUGUGAUGGGAGAAGAAAAU